Molecule: ribosomal RNA, 408 nt
Filed under: uncultured bacterium
Lineage: Bacteria
Description: partial 16S ribosomal RNA
Rfam family: Bacterial small subunit ribosomal RNA
Source: RNAcentral
GACGAACGCUGGCGGCGUGCUUAACACAUGCAAGUCGAACGAAGUGGCGAACGGGUGAGUAAGGCGUAAUCAACCUGCCCUUCAGCGGGUGACAACAGUAGGAAACGACUGCUAAUACCGCAUACGGAAGGUGGGGCUGGCGUCGGUUUAGCAAGGUGGCGGGGUAACGGCCCACCAAGGCGAUGAUCAGUAGCCGGUCUGGAGGGGUGAACGGCCACAUUGGGACCGGGGCCACGCCCAGACUCCUUCGGGAGGCAACAGUGGGGAAUCUUCCGCAAUGGACGAAAGUCUGGCGGAGCAAAGCCGGGGGAGUGAUGACGGCCUUCGGGUUGGAAAGCUCUGUUAAUCGGGGAGCGGUACCGAAAUAGAAAGCCACGGCUAACUACGUGCCAGCAGCCGCGGUAAUAC